This 492-nucleotide ribosomal RNA is filed under the name uncultured bacterium. RNAcentral's name for it is "partial 16S ribosomal RNA". It matches the Rfam family "Bacterial small subunit ribosomal RNA", at positions 29 to 507 of the family's 1533-position model. The record is from RNAcentral.
AGUGAACGCUGGCGGUAGGCCUAACACAUGCAAGUCGAACGGCAGCACAGUAAGAGCUUGCUCUUACGGGUGGCGAGUGGCGGACGGGUGAGGAAUACAUCGGAAUCUACUUUUUCGUGGGGGAUAACGUAGGGAAGCUUACGCUAAUACCGCAUACGACCUACGGGUGAAAGCAGGGGAUCUUCGGACCUUGCGCGAUUGAAUGAGCCGAUGUCGGAUUAGCUAGUUGGCGGGGUAAAGGCCCACCCAGGCGACGAUCCGUAGCUGGUCUGAGAGGAUGAUCAGCCACACUGGAACUGAGACACGGUCCAGACUCCUACGGGAGGCAGCAGUGGGGAAUAUUGGACAAUGGGCGCAAGCCUGAUCCAGCCAUACCGCGUGGGUGAAGAAGGCCUUCGGGUUGUAAAGCCCUUUUGUUGGGAAAGAAAAGCAGCAGGUUAAUACCCCGCUGUUCUGACGGUACCCAAAGAAUAAGCACCGGCUAACUUCGUG